CCUGCAACCCAGGUACAUGCCCUUGACCGGAAUCGAACCCGGGACCCUUCAGUCCGCAGGCCCGACGCUCUAUCCACUGAACCACACCGGCCAGGGCAGGUUUGGGAUUUCCUGACCCUGCAGCCGGGAAGGCGGCCAGAGUCGCCUCAUGUACUUGUCAGCUGCGUGCGGCCUCGCGGAAGGGCAGAUGCCACAAUCUCCUUCUUGGAGCCGCUGUCAGCCUGUGUUUGACCCCCCCUCCUCCCCAUUGGACGGUGGCCUGCAUUGGUGUCUGGGACUCUCAUGCUCUGACGUUGAUUUUACAAACUGAUUUCCUAGGGAACAGCACCUACGUUGCAGAGUCCAGUGGUUCUCAACCUUCUGGCCCUUUAAAUACAGUUCAUGUUGUGGUGACCCCCAACCACAAAAUCAUUUUCGUUGCUGCUUCAUAACUGUCAUGUUGCUACUGUUAUGAAUCGUCAUGUAAAUAUCUGAUAUGCAGGAUGGUCUGAGGCGACCCCUGUGAAAGGGUCAUUGGACCACUAAAGGGGGCAGACCCACAGGUUGAGAACCACUGCUGCAGACUCGGUUCCCUGAGUUGGGGAAGGGGCGGCUCGGGGAGCCCCAGAACCUGUGUCGCCGUCUGCGGGCCUGUGUGCAGACUGAGCAGUUGGGUCUGUGCUUUCUGCUCUGGGCAGAACUCCUGUGACCAACAGCCCCACCGAGGCCGGAGGAGCUGUGGGCGGGACCUGGAGGGUCAGAUGCCCCCGGGCUGGGAGCUCAGCUGGCGAUGGAGCAUCCUCCCGACAAAGCUGUGCUUCCAUCCGGGUCCGGGACGGACAAGAAUCACCGAUGAAUGCAUAAGUGGACCAACACAUGGAUGCUUUCCUCUCCGUUUAAAAAUCAAUCAAUAAAAAUAUACGGUCACAUGA
Myotis lucifugus (little brown bat) is the source of this 911-nucleotide long non-coding RNA. RefSeq lists it as uncharacterized. Lineage: Eukaryota; Metazoa; Chordata; Mammalia; Chiroptera; Vespertilionidae. The record is from RefSeq and is a predicted model, not a curated record. The transcript is spliced from 2 exons.